This 402-nucleotide ribosomal RNA is filed under the name uncultured prokaryote. RNAcentral's name for it is "bacterial SSU rRNA". It matches the Rfam family "Bacterial small subunit ribosomal RNA", at positions 355 to 774 of the family's 1533-position model. The record is from RNAcentral.
UGGGGAAUCUUGCACAAUGGGGGAAACCCUGAUGCAGCGACGCCGCGUGAGCGAUGAAGCCCUUCGGGGUGUAAAGCUCUUUCGGCAGGGAAGAUGAUGACGGUACCUGCAGAAGCAGCUGCGGCUAACUACGUGCCAGCAGCCGCGGUAAUACGUAGGCAGCAAGCGUUGUUCGGAGUUACUGGGCGUAAAGGGUGUGUAGGCGGUCUCUUAAGUUUGGUGUGAAAUCUCCCGGCUCAACCGGGAGGGUGCGCCGAAUACUGAGAGGCUCGAGUGCGGGAGAGGAAAGUGGAAUUCCUGGUGUAGCGGUGAAAUGCGUAGAUAUCAGGAGGAACACCGGUGGUGUAAACGGCUUUCUGGACCGUGACUGACGCUGAGACACGAAAGCGUGGGUAGCAAACA